AUGGAAUGCAAGCAAGCCAUAUGCCCUUCUGAGGUGAGGCAACUACAAGGCUGUACAAUUCUUUCACCUAAAACAAGAGGAAAGAGUGAUAAAGGCAGUCACAAUGCACCUGAAAUUAAGGAGAUAUUUUAUAGAGAAGAAGAGUUGGAAUAUCUUGAUGAGGGUUCCUUGGAAGAAUCUCAAAGCUGCAGUCACAAUGCACCUGAAAUUAAGGAGAUAUUUUAUAGAGAAGAAGAGUUGGAAUAUCUUGAUGAGGGUUCCUCGGAAGAAUCUCAAAGCUAUGGUAUCAAUGUUCCAGAAUCCCGAGAAACCAUCUCCAGCUCUCUGGUGUUAUGGAUAUCACCAUAUUCAUUAAAAUUGUACCAUAGAGGCAGUUCCCUCAAAAGUGACUUUUCAUGGUCUAAUAAGAAUUAUGUGCCUACAAUACAAAUGGGCUGGAAAGUUCACUGUUGGAAAGACUCUUUCCAUCUCUACGUGUGUCAUAUGCAGCACCAUAUGAUUACUUCCACCAUGAGACAGCGUUAUUUUCUUCCAGAUAUUGAUAACAUAGAAGACACAGAUACUGAAAAUGCACAAAAAGGUGUGGAUAGUCAAUCUGAAUCAACUCAUCUAGAAUACUGGGACCUGAGAAAUAAAUCGUCUACUGUUUCUCCUGUGGUCAACAUACUUCUGGUCCCAGAACAAAAAACAGAAGAUAAAUAA
Molecule: long non-coding RNA, 702 nt
Filed under: Mus musculus (house mouse)
Lineage: Eukaryota; Metazoa; Chordata; Mammalia; Rodentia; Muridae
Description: predicted gene 10634 (ENSMUSG00000074149.11)
Source: RNAcentral